Molecule: unclassified non-coding RNA, 317 nt
Filed under: Hevea brasiliensis (rubber tree)
Lineage: Eukaryota; Viridiplantae; Streptophyta; Magnoliopsida; Malpighiales; Euphorbiaceae
Source: RNAcentral
AUCAACAAUUGCAGAGAUUUAAAUUUAAAAAAAAAAUGUCCCAAUGAUGAAGAGUUUCCACAAUGCUGGACUUUUUUACACAGAGCUUAUUGCUUUCUCAGUAGAUUUUGCAUUUGGAAAAGAAUAAUAUGUUGUCCUACUAGAUUCGUCUUUGAAAUUAGACAGUGUCCAUAAAUAUUUAUCAUUUUUCUUAAUAAAAAUUAUCAGAAGAACCUGUUAAACUAAAGGAUAACUUUUAAUUGUAACAUUUAUCAAAUUACCAACUGCAAUAUCUCAGAUGAUUCUUUAUUUCAAGCGACAAGAUAUGAAGCAUAAAA